GUAUAGUUUAAUGGUAAAACAGAAAGCUUCAACCUUUAAAUUCUUAGUUCGAGUCUAAGUACUCUUGCCUUGUUUUGCCUAUAUGUCCACUGCCCGUAUGAGAGAAUCGUACGC
RNAcentral lists this unclassified non-coding RNA (114 nucleotides) under Neurospora intermedia. RNAcentral's name for it is "partial miscellaneous RNA". The stretch from base 1 to 67 matches the Rfam family "tRNA". Rfam says of the family: Transfer RNA (tRNA) molecules are approximately 80 nucleotides in length. Their secondary structure includes four short double-helical elements and three loops (D, anti-codon, and T loops). Lineage: Eukaryota; Fungi; Ascomycota; Sordariomycetes; Sordariales; Sordariaceae. The record is from RNAcentral.